This is a long non-coding RNA of Gallus gallus (chicken), 1326 nucleotides long. Lineage: Eukaryota; Metazoa; Chordata; Aves; Galliformes; Phasianidae. The record is from Ensembl.
GUUUUUUUUUUUUCCAGUUACCAUUGUUCUUUUUAAUCCUUCACAGACAUGUGCUGGGAUUAGGCUGGCUACUGAGCUGACUCUUUGAGAGCAAGCAAGUUGAACUGAGGUUGAGGGAGCUGGGGUUGUUUAGCCAGGAGAAGAGAAUGCUCCAGGGAGAUCUCAUUAAGACGUUCCAGUACUUAAAGAGAGUUUUCAAACAGGAGAGAAAAUGACUUUUUACACAGUCUGAUAGUGAUAGGAAAAUGGGGAAUGGUUUCACACUAAAAAGGGGGGGAUUUAGGUUAGAUAUUAGGCAGAAAUUUAUCACUCAUUGAGUGGUGAGGCGCUUGAACAGGUUGCCCAGAGAAGUUGUGGAUGUCCCAUCCCUGGAGGCGUUCAAAGCCAGAUUUGAUGGGGCCCUGGACAGCUUGUUCUAGUGCUCGGCAACCCUGUUCAUGGCAGCAGGGUUGAAACUAGAUGAUUUUUAAGGUCCCUUCCAACCCAUUCCAUGGCUCUAUGAUUCUAUGAGGUGUGAGAUCAAAGUACAUCAGUUGUUGCUAUCUAAACAAAGGCAUGUUUGAAAGCAAUUAUGUUGUUUUAAAUGAAAUGGAAUAUUUAAUCUCCUUACUCAUAAGACCAACUGUAAAUGUUUCACACACAACUUGCAUUUACCAAGAUUUCCUUUGAACUUGCAUUGACUAUGACCCUUCAUCAACAUACAACUUGCUGAUAAGCUGAGUGUUCAAAUCACAACAAAAAUGUGUUAUAAAAAAAAAUCAUAGAAUUACAUAGACUUUACCAGGAAAUAAGGAACAAAGGAGGAAGAAGUAAGGAAUCUGUGGUGCUUAUUUAAUGCAAUCUUUGAAUAUGAAGAGCUUCAGUCUCUGAAGACACUGCGCUGUCUUUACUUUGAGUUGACCCUCUGGCUACAGCUAUGCAUCCAGCAGAUGUGCAGUUCCACCUUCUAUUCCAGGAUUGAUCCUCUCCUUCCAAAAUCAAAAAGAAGCAGAACAGAUCUGGAAGACUGUAAAGUGAAAGUCUGAGUCAAACAUUCUGACACAAUAUGUUGGAAAAUUGUUGAAAUAUCUUCUUUCACAGAGAUUGGUUCCUAUUGCCAUCCUCCACAUGAAUACAGACUGAUUAUGACUUUGCAUGUUCUAUUUGUGUGUUGUAAAACAUAAUACCAGAACCAUUUGAAUUGGAAGGGACUCAGAUCACCUAAUUCAACCUUCUCAAAGCAAUAAUCAAUACUGAAUUCAGAUGAGGUUUUUUAGAACUUCGUCUAAUUGGAUCCUGAAAUCCUCCAAGAACAGAUAUUCCACAGCCUUCAUGGGUAACAGUACC